This is a long non-coding RNA of Prionailurus viverrinus (fishing cat), 558 nucleotides long. RefSeq lists it as uncharacterized. NCBI's taxonomy places the organism in Eukaryota, Metazoa, Chordata, Mammalia, Carnivora, Felidae. The record is from RefSeq and is a predicted model, not a curated record. The transcript has 5 exons.
AGGAAUAGUGUGGGAAGGAAGAUGAGAACCUCACACGUGGAUGACUGUUUCCUGGGAAUUGGGAGAGAUACCCUGCUCCAUCAGAAUCACUACAAUUUUAAAAUAUUAGAUUACUACCCCAAAUCACAGAGUUGAGGCUGGAGAAUCCAAAUUCAAGCAAGGUAUCAGCAGAGUCAGUGCCUGCUGAGAUCAUUCUUCCUGGUUUGCAGAUGAACAUUAUAUCCUCACACGGCAGAGAGAGCACAGAAAGUACCUGGAUUAUACUCUUCUGCCUUCUGAAAACUUCACUUCUGACAUAACUCCUCUCUUCCAUAGAAAACCCACCGGCACUGAAGAUAUGAACAAGACAUGUAAAGAGCCUGCCUUCAUAAAGCUUACAUUGCAGAGAACAGAGAUCUAAUAUAAUAUGAAGAUGUUUCCUAGAGAAAGACUCAGCACCUUUUAGUUAAGAGGUCAGGAAAAGGAAAUUUGGAAGAACUUUGAAAGGAAUUGGUAGAAAUUUGGAAGGAAGAGAAGAAUCUAGAAGGAAGAACCAAGGAAGGAAAAUGUCAAGCAAAA